UGGGGAAUUUUGCACAAUGGGGCAAACCCUGAUGCAGCGACGCCGCGUGAUUUAGAAGGCCUUCGGGUUGUAAAAAUCUUUUGUAUGGGAAGAAAAUGACAGUACCAUACGAAUAAGGACCGGCUAAUUACGUGCCAGCAGCCGCGGUAAUACGUAAGGUCCGAGCGUUGUCCGGAAUUAUUGGGCGUAAAGCGCGCGCAGGCGGCUGCUUAAGUCCAUCUUAAAAGUGCGGGGCUUAACCCCGUGAUGGGAUGGAAACUGAGAAGCUGGAGAGUCGGAGAGGAAAGUGGAAUUCCUAGUGUAGCGGGGAAAUGCGUAGAGAUUAGGAAGAACACCGGUGGCGAGGGCGACUUUCUGGACGACAACUGACGCUUAGGCGCGAAAGCGUGGGGGGCAAACAGG
Molecule: ribosomal RNA, 402 nt
Filed under: Verrucomicrobiota bacterium
Lineage: Bacteria; Pseudomonadati; Verrucomicrobiota
Description: Verrucomicrobia bacterium partial 16S ribosomal RNA
Rfam family: Bacterial small subunit ribosomal RNA
Source: RNAcentral